Molecule: ribosomal RNA, 497 nt
Filed under: uncultured bacterium
Lineage: Bacteria
Description: partial 16S ribosomal RNA
Rfam family: Bacterial small subunit ribosomal RNA
Source: RNAcentral
GAUGAACGCUGGCGGCGUGCCUAAUACAUGCAAGUCGAGCGAACAGACGAGGAGCUUGCUCCUCUGACGUUAGCGGCGGACGGGUGAGUAACACGUGGAUAACCUACCUAUAAGACUGGGAUAACUUCGGGAAACCGGAGCUAAUACCGGAUAAUAUAUUGAACCGCAUGGUUCAAUAGUGAAAGACGGUUUUGCUGUCACUUAUAGAUGGAUCCGCGCCGCAUUAGCUAGUUGGUAAGGUAACGGCUUACCAAGGCAACGAUGCGUAGCCGACCUGAGAGGGUGAUCGGCCACACUGGAACUGAGACACGGUCCAGACUCCUACGGGAGGCAGCAGUAGGGAAUCUUCCGCAAUGGGCGAAAGCCUGACGGAGCAACGCCGCGUGAGUGAAGAAGGUCUUCGGGUCGUAAAACCCUUUUAUUAGGGAAGAACAAAUGUGGAAGUAACUAUGCACGUCUUGACGGUACCUAAACAGAAAGCCACGGCUAACUACGUG